CCUACGGGAGGCAGCAGUGAGGAAUAUUGGUCAAUGGGCGCGAGCCUGAACCAGCCAAGUCGCGUGAGGGAGGACGGCCCUACGGGUUGUAAACCUCUUUUGCCGGGGAGCAACGGGCGUCACGUGUGGCGCCACUGAGAGUACCCGGAGAAAAAGCAUCGGCUAACUCCGUGCCAGCAGCCGCGGUAAUACGGAGGAUGCGAGCGUUAUCCGGAUUUAUUGGGUUUAAAGGGUGCGUAGGCGGAUCGUUAAGUCAGUGGUCAAAUUGAGGGGCUCAACCCCUUCCCGCCAUUGAAACUGGCGUUCUUGAGUGGAAGAGAAGUAUGCGGAAUGCGUGGUGUAGCGGUGAAAUGCAUAGAUAUCACGCAGAACCCCGAUUGCGAAGGCAGCAUGCCGGCUUCCGACUGACGCUGAAGCACGAAAGCGUGGGGA
Molecule: ribosomal RNA, 432 nt
Filed under: uncultured bacterium
Lineage: Bacteria
Description: bacterial SSU rRNA
Rfam family: Bacterial small subunit ribosomal RNA
Source: RNAcentral